RNAcentral lists this unclassified non-coding RNA (368 nucleotides) under uncultured fungus. RNAcentral's name for it is "partial contains ITS1, 5.8S rRNA and ITS2". The record is from RNAcentral. Lineage: Eukaryota; Fungi.
AACGCACAUUGCACUCUGCUUCGGCUGAGUAUGCCUGUUUGAGAAUCUAAAGUAUUCUUUUUCCCUAGUGACUGUCAGAACAGACCUUGGUCUGGCUAUGAUACCACUAGGGAAAGAUUUGAAGCUUCGCUCUUACCCAGCGUGCCUUUAAAACUAUAGCUGUCUAAGCUAUCGCUGCAUAGCGCUUCGCAGAACAGUAUGUGAAUGAACCUAUUGGUUUCUCUAAUGCGGGCUAUGAUGGUGAUGUUAGUGUAGUAGUCUGGGUUUAUUUCGAAGCAUAGGCCCUCAACUAUGAAGUAGAGGUCCGACUAAGUCGUGUCCAGAACUGAACCAUGGUCACAAAUCAGGUAGGAGGAUCAGCUGAUCUU